AUGGGGUCUGCCACCAUCCUCACCCUCCUCAUCGCUGGUGUCUGUGCCCAGGGGCAGCUGGUGCAGCCUGGGGCAGAGGUGAAGAGGCCCGGGGAGUCUCUGACGAUCUCCUGUAAGAGGUCUGGAAAUGCAAAUUGGAUCAGCUGGGUGCUUCAAAAGUCCGGGAAGGACCUGGAGUGGAUGGGCAAUAUUGACCUUAGCGAUUCAGAAACCCACUACGGCCCGUCCUUCCAAGGCCAAGUCACCAUCUCUGCAGACAAAUCCAUCAGCACCGCCUUCCUGCAGUGGAGCAGCCUGAAGGUCUCGGACACAGCCGUGUAUUACUGUGCGGCAGACACAGUGAGAGAAACCACAUCCUGA
This is a non-coding RNA of Orycteropus afer afer, 360 nucleotides long. Lineage: Eukaryota; Metazoa; Chordata; Mammalia; Tubulidentata; Orycteropodidae. The record is from the annotation of a RefSeq genome assembly.